RNAcentral lists this ribosomal RNA (1060 nucleotides) under Alcaligenes sp. dR13-13. Its description in RNAcentral is "bacterial SSU rRNA". It matches the Rfam family "Bacterial small subunit ribosomal RNA", at positions 32 to 1084 of the family's 1533-position model. The record is from RNAcentral. Lineage: Bacteria; Pseudomonadati; Pseudomonadota; Betaproteobacteria; Burkholderiales; Alcaligenaceae.
AGCCAUUCGGGAGCUUUAACAUGCAAGUCGAACGGCAGCGCGAGAAAGCUUGCUUUCUUGGCGGCGAGUGGCGAACGGGUGAGUAAUGUAUCGGAACGUGCCCAGUAGCGGGGGAUAACUGGCCGAAAGGUCAGCUAAUACCGCAUACGCCCUACGGGGGAAAGGGGGGGAUCGCAAGACCUCUCACUAUUGGAGCGGCCGAUAUCGGAUUAGCUAGUUGGUGGGGUAAAGGCCUACCAAGGCGACGAUCCGUAGCUGGUUUGAGAGGGCGACCAGCCACACUGGGACUGAGACACGGCCCAGACUCCUACGGGAGGCAGCAGUGGGGAAUUUUGGACAAUGGGGGAAACCCUGAUCCAGCCAUCCCGCGUGUGCGAUGAAGGCCUUCGGGUUGUAAAGCACUUUUGGCAGGGAAGAAACAGCCUGGGCUAAUAUCUCGGGCGACUGACGGUACCUGCAGAAUAAGCACCGGCUAACUACGUGCCAGCAGCCGCGGUAAUACGUAGGGUGCAAGCGUUAAUCGGAAUUACUGGGCGUAAAGCGUGCGCAGGCGGUUCGGAAAGAAAGGUGUGAAAUCCCAGGGCUUAACCUUGGAACUGCACUUUUAACUACCGGGCUAGAGUACGUCAGAGGGGGGUAGAAUUCCACGUGUAGCAGUGAAAUGCGUAGAGAUGUGGAGGAAUACCGAUGGCGAAGGCAGCCCCCUGGGAUGAUACUGACGCUCAUGCACGAAAGCGUGGGGAGCAACAGGAUUAGAUACCCUGGUAGUCCACGCCCUAAACGAUGUCAACUAGCUGUUGGGGUUUAUUAACCUUAGUAGCGCAGCUAACGCGUGAAGUUGACCGCCUGGGGAGUACGGUCGCAAGAUUAAAACUCAAAGGAAUUGACGGGGACCCGCACAAGCGGUGGAUGAUGUGGAUUAAUUCGAUGCAACGCGAAAAACCUUACCUACCCUUGACAUGUCUGGAAUCCCGAAGAGAUUUGGGAGUGCUCGCAUGAGAACCGGAACACAGGUGCUGCAUGGCUUGUCGUCAGCUCGUGUCGUGAGAUGUGGGUUAAG